AGCCGGGAAUGGAAAGACCGGUACAAGCGAGGUAGGAGAAGAGUUGGCAAAUCCGCUCUUUAAUCUGAAGACGUGAUGUGGACUGAAAAUAAGUAGGGAAGCACGUGAGCUGACUGUCAAGAAAAGCCGCUAUUGUUUGCAGGAUACCCGUACCGUAAACCGACACAGGUGGAUGAGGGGAGAAUCCUAAGGCCGACGGGAGAAGCAUUGUUAAGGAACUCGGCAAAAUGACUCCGUAACUUCGGGAGAAGGAGUGCCAGUAAGAUGGCCGCAGAGAAUUGGCCCAAGCAACUGUUUAGCAAAAACACAGGUCUAUGCAAAACCGAAAGGUGAGGUAUAUGGGCUGACGCCUGCCCGGUGCUGGAAGGUUAAGGGGAGAGGUUAGCGCAAGCGAAGCUUUGAACUUAAGCCCCAGUAAACGGCGGCCGUAACUAUAACGGUCCUAAGGUAGCGAAAUUCCUUGUCGGGUAAGUUCCGACCCGCACGAAAGGCGUAAUGAUUUGGGCACUGUCUCAACAAUGCACCCGGUGAAAUUGAAAUACCAGUGAAGAUGCUGGUUACCUGCGCCAGGACGGAAAGACCCCAUGGAGCUUUACUCCAGCUUGAUACUGGGAUUCGGUAUUGCAUGUACAGGAUAGGUGGGAGGCUAGGAAAUGGUAACGCCAGUUGCCAUGGAGCCAAUUUUGGGAUACCACCCUUGCAGUACUGGGUUUCUAACCAGCAGCCGUGAUCCGGCUGGGGGACAAUGUCAGGUGGGGAGUUUGACUGGGGCGGUCGCCUCCGAAAGGGUAUCGGAGGCGCUCAAAGGUUCCCUCAGAAUGGUUGGAAACCAUUCGAAGAGUGCAAAGGCAGAAGGGAGCUUGACUGCGACACCGACGGGUGGAGCAGGUACGAAAGUAGGACUUAGUGAUCCGGUGGUAUAAAGUGGGAUUGCCAUCGCUCAACGGAUAAAAGCUACCCUGGGAUAACAGGCUUAUCACUCCCAAGAGUUCACAUCGACGGAGUGGUUUGGCACCUCGAUGUCGGCUCAUCGCAUCCUGGGGCUGAAGUAGGUCCCAAGGGUUGGGCUGUUCGCCCAUUAAAGCGGUACGCGAGCUGGGUUCAGAACGUCGUGAGACAGUUCGGUCCCUAUCCGGCGUGGGCGUAAGAUAUUUGAGAGGAGCUGUCCUUAGUACGAGAGGACCGGGAUGGACUGGCCGCUGGUGUAUCUGUUGUCUUACCAAAGGCAUAGCAGAGUAGCCAAGCCGGGAAGGGAUAAACGCUGAAGGCAUCUAAGCGUGAAGCCCCCCUCAAGAUGAGAUAUCUCAUAACGUCAAGUUAGUAAGACCCCUUGAAGACGACGAGGUAGAUAGGGCAGAGGUGGAAGUGUGGUAACACAUGGAGCUGACUGUUACUAAUAGGUCGAGGGCAUAGC
RNAcentral lists this ribosomal RNA (1414 nucleotides) under metagenome. RNAcentral describes it as "bacterial LSU rRNA". It matches the Rfam family "Bacterial large subunit ribosomal RNA", at positions 1489 to 2925 of the family's 2925-position model. The record is from RNAcentral.